Molecule: transfer RNA, 74 nt
Filed under: Mesorhizobium sangaii
Lineage: Bacteria; Pseudomonadati; Pseudomonadota; Alphaproteobacteria; Hyphomicrobiales; Phyllobacteriaceae
Description: tRNA-Pro
Source: RNAcentral
GUUGUGCCGAGUUAGGCCAAGAUUUUUGACUGGGGGUCAAGGGGUCGUCGGUUCGAAUCCGGCCACUCCGACCA